GGUCAACAGGGAUUCGGUGGGCCAGCCAGUCCUUCUCUGAGGUCUGAGGAGAGAGCUAAACCAUUGGAAGCAGGAGAUGAGGCAGGAAGACAGAAAGAAGGAGAUCACAGCCUCACCUCAUGGGUAAGGAAGAGAAGCCCAGAGCUAACUGCGCCACAAAGAAGAGGGAGAUCGAAAUCUUCGCUACAACGUCCAUUUCUCACUAAAACCUGUGUUGAAGAUUGAUUCCGGGAUAAUGCAGUGCUG
Molecule: long non-coding RNA, 246 nt
Filed under: Ursus maritimus (polar bear)
Lineage: Eukaryota; Metazoa; Chordata; Mammalia; Carnivora; Ursidae
Description: lncRNA (ENSUMAG00000010121.1)
Source: RNAcentral